Molecule: long non-coding RNA, 296 nt
Filed under: Zea mays
Lineage: Eukaryota; Viridiplantae; Streptophyta; Magnoliopsida; Poales; Poaceae
Description: long non-coding RNA (ZMAY_LNC004877)
Source: RNAcentral
AAAACUCGGCCGGGGAGGGAAAGACCGCCCUCCCGGUAUUAAAUUAAGAAGAGACCGAAACAAUGGUCCCGGCCGAGAAAAUCCCCGAACCCUGGCCCCCAUCACUAACAGGUCAGCGUCAACUGUCCACUCUGCAACGGCUCAACCGGAGGGUGGCGCACAGGACAUCGUAACCCGAGAGCGGAUGGGGCACAGCGAGGGGAUUUUUUUAACCAAGCCUGAAAUUCGCUCCCGAGGGGAAUCGAACCCAGGACUUGGAGGUGCUACUCGGAAGUCCUUAACCACUAGGCUAGAGG